RNAcentral lists this ribosomal RNA (254 nucleotides) under uncultured bacterium. RNAcentral's name for it is "partial 16S ribosomal RNA". It matches the Rfam family "Bacterial small subunit ribosomal RNA", at positions 524 to 776 of the family's 1533-position model. The record is from RNAcentral.
CACGUAGGGUGCGAGCGUUGUCCGGAAUUAUUGGGCGUAAAGAGCUCGUAGGCGGUGUGUCGCGUCGGCCGUGAAAACCUGCAGCUUAACUGUGGGCUUGCGGUCGAUACGGGCAUCACUGGAGUUCGGCAGGGGAGACUGGAAUUCCUGGUGUAGCGGUGAAAUGCGCAGAUAUCAGGAGGAACACCGGUGGCGAAGGCGGGUCUCUGGACAGCAACUGACGCUGAGGCACGAAGGCCAGGGGAGCAAACGGG